UACAGAGACUGCAAGCGUUAUUCGGAUUCACUGGGCGUAAAGGGUGCGCAGGCGGCCGUGUGUGUGUGGCGUGAAAGCCCGAUGCUUAACAUCGGAAUUGCACCUCAAACUACAUGGCUAGAGCAUUGGAGAGGGUAGCGGAAUUCACGGUGUAGCAGUGAAAUGCGUAGAUAUCGUGAGGAACACCAGAGGCGAAGGCGGCUACCUGGACAAUUGCUGACGCUCAGGCACGAAAGCGUGGGGAGCGAUCAGG
This 253-nucleotide ribosomal RNA is filed under the name uncultured bacterium. RNAcentral's name for it is "partial 16S ribosomal RNA". It matches the Rfam family "Bacterial small subunit ribosomal RNA", at positions 524 to 776 of the family's 1533-position model. The record is from RNAcentral.